Molecule: ribosomal RNA, 253 nt
Filed under: uncultured bacterium
Lineage: Bacteria
Description: partial 16S ribosomal RNA
Rfam family: Archaeal small subunit ribosomal RNA
Source: RNAcentral
UACCAGCACCCCGAGUGGUCGGGACGUUUAUUGGGCCUAAAGCAUCCGUAGCCGGUUCUACAAGUCUUCCGUUAAAUCCAGCUGCUUAACAGAUGGGCUGCGGAAGAUACUAUGGAGCUAGGAGGCGGGAGAGGCAAGCGGUACUCGAUGGGUAGGGGUAAAAUCCGUUGAUCCAUUGAAGACCACCAGUGGCUAAGGCGGCUUGCCAGAACGCGCUCGACGGUGAGGGAUGAAAGCUGGGGGAGCAAACCGG